This 446-nucleotide ribosomal RNA is filed under the name uncultured bacterium. Its description in RNAcentral is "partial 16S ribosomal RNA". It matches the Rfam family "Bacterial small subunit ribosomal RNA", at positions 338 to 795 of the family's 1533-position model. The record is from RNAcentral.
CCUACGGGAGGCUGCAGUCGAGAAUCAUUCACAAUGGGGGAAACCCUGAUGGUGCGACGCCGCGUGGGGGAAUGAAGGUCUUCGGAUUGUAAACCCCUGUCAUGUGGGAGCAAAUUAAAAAGAUAGUACCACAAGAGGAAGAGACGGCUAACUCUGUGCCAGCAGCCGCGGUAAUCCAGAGGUCUCAAGCGUUGUUCGGAAUCACUGGGCGUAAAGCGUGCGUAGGCUGUUUCGUAAGUCGUGUGUGAAAGGCGCGGGCUCAACCCGCGGACGGCACAUGAUACUGCGAGACUAGAGUAAUGGAGGGGGAACCGGAAUUCUCGGUGUAGCAGUGAAAUGCGUAGAUAUCGAGAGGAACACUCGUGGCGAAGGCGGGUUCCUGGACAUUAACUGACGCUGAGGCACGAAGGCCAGGGGAGCGAAAGGGAUUAGAUACCCGAGUAGUC